RNAcentral lists this ribosomal RNA (661 nucleotides) under Metus conglomeratus. RNAcentral describes it as "SSU rRNA". It matches the Rfam family "Bacterial small subunit ribosomal RNA", at positions 356 to 1024 of the family's 1533-position model. Lineage: Eukaryota; Fungi; Ascomycota; Lecanoromycetes; Lecanorales; Cladoniaceae. The record is from RNAcentral.
GAGGAAUAUUGGUCAAUAGCCUAACGGCUGAACCAGCAAUUUGGAAGAAUGUUUAGCACCUUUAAACAGUAAGUGCGAAAUUGAUUAAAUCAAAUAAAAUUCUAGGUAGACUUAUGAUAAUGACAAAGCCUACCUAAGUCUUGACCAAAUUACGUGCCAGCAGUCGCGGUAAUACGUAAAAGACUAGUGUUAUUCAUCUUUAAUUGGUUUAAAGGGUACCUAGACAGUAAAUAAAGCCUUAGUGGGAACUAAUUUGCUAGAGUUACUUAUAAGGGGGUAUUAAAGUACUGCAGGUGUAGAGAUGAAAUUUUAUUAUACCUCUUUUCACAAGAAAAACUAUGGCACAGGUAUAGGUGAAAACAUCCCCUUAUGUGAUAACUGACGUUGAAGGACGAAGGCUUUGUAUCGCGAACAGGAUUAGAUACCCCAGUAGUCAAAGCAGAAAAUGAUGAAUGUCAUAGAUUAGAAAAAUAAUUUAUUCUAUAAACGAAAGUGUAAGCAUUCCACCUCAAGAGUAAUUUGGCAACAUUGGAACUGAAAUCAUUAGACCGUUUCUGAAACCAGUAGUGAAGUAUGUCGUUUAAUUUGAUACCACGCAAAAAACCUUACCACAAUUUGAAUAUAUAUACAUAUCUUUUAUUGAUUUAAGAUAGUAUAUUUA